RNAcentral lists this ribosomal RNA (254 nucleotides) under uncultured bacterium. RNAcentral describes it as "partial 16S ribosomal RNA". It matches the Rfam family "Bacterial small subunit ribosomal RNA", at positions 524 to 776 of the family's 1533-position model. The record is from RNAcentral.
GACGAGGGAUCCUAGCGUUGCUCGGAAUCAUUGGGCGUAAAGCGGGUGUAGGUGGCUUUUUAAGUCAGGUGUGAAAGCCCAGGGCUCAACCCUGGAAGUGCAUUUGAUACUGAGAAGCUUGAGUGUGGGAGAGGUUACUGGAAUACCUGGUGUAGUGGUGAAAUACGUAGAUAUCAGGUGGAACACCGGAGGCGAAGGCGGGUAACUGGCCCAAACACUGACACUCAGACCCGAAAGCGUGGGGAUCAAACAGG